UUUGCAUAUUCAAAAAGCGGAGGAAAAGAAACCAACAGGGAUUGCCUCAGUAACGGCGAGUGAAGCGGCAACAGCUCAAAUUUGAAAUCUGGCCUCUUGGGGUCCGAGUUGUAAUUUGUAGAGGAUGUUUCGGGUACCGCCUCGGUUUAAAUUUCUUGGAACAGAAUGUCAAAGAGGGUGAGAAUCCCGUCUUGGACCGGCGGUAGGGCCUAUGUGAAACUCCUUCGACGAGUCGAGUUGUUUGGGAAUGCAGCUCAAAAUGGGUGGUAAAUUUCAUCUAAAGCUAAAUAUUGGCCAGAGACCGAUAGCGCACAAGUAGAGUGAUCGAAAGAUGAAAAGCACUUUGAAAAGAGAGUUAAACAGUAUGUGAAAUUGUUGAAAGGGAAGCGCUUGCAACCAGACUUGAGCGCGGCGGUUCCCCCUUGCUUCUGCUUGGGUUACUCCGCCGUGUCCAGGCCAACAUCGGUUCUGGGGGUCGGUCAAAGGCUCUGGGAAUGUAUCUACCCACGGGUAGACUUAUAGACCAGGGUGUCAUGCGACCUCCCGGGACCGAGGAACGCGCUUCGGCUCGGAUGUUGGCGUAAUGGUUGUCAGCGACCCGUCUUGAACACACGGACCAAA
This 621-nucleotide ribosomal RNA is filed under the name Fonsecaea pedrosoi. RNAcentral describes it as "LSU rRNA". It matches the Rfam family "Eukaryotic large subunit ribosomal RNA", at positions 35 to 670 of the family's 3401-position model. Lineage: Eukaryota; Fungi; Ascomycota; Eurotiomycetes; Chaetothyriales; Herpotrichiellaceae. The record is from RNAcentral.